RNAcentral lists this non-coding RNA (499 nucleotides) under uncultured Glomus. RNAcentral's name for it is "SSU rRNA". It matches the Rfam family "Eukaryotic small subunit ribosomal RNA", at positions 591 to 1092 of the family's 1831-position model. RNAcentral also lists the same sequence under 1 other name. Lineage: Eukaryota; Fungi; Glomeromycota; Glomeromycetes; Glomerales; Glomeraceae. The record is from RNAcentral.
CCAAUAGCGUAUAUUAAAGUUGCUGCAGUUAAAAAGCUCGUAGUUGAAUUUCGGGACCAAUAUGUUGGUCGUGCUUUUGUACGUACUGAUAUAAUUGGUUUCUCCCUUCUGAAGAACCUUGAUGUCAUUAAUUUGGUGUCUUGGGGAAUCAGGACUGUUACUUUGAAAAAAUUAGAGUGUUUAAAGCAGGCUCGCGCUUGAAUACAUUAGCAUGGAAUAAUGAAAUAGGACGUUUGAUUCUAUUUUGUUGGUUUCUAGGAUCGACGUAAUGAUUAAUAGGGAUAGUUGGGGGCAUUAGUAUUCAAUUGUCAGAGGUGAAAUUCUUGGAUUUAUUGAAGACUAACUACUGCGAAAGCAUUUGCCAAGGAUGUUUUCAUUAAUCAAGAACGAAAGUUAGGGGAUCGAAGACGAUCAGAUACCGUCGUAGUCUUAACCAUAAACUAUGCCGACUAGGGAUCGGAUGAUGUUAAUUUUUUAAUGACUCAUUCGGCGCCUUACG